GAUGAACGCUGGCGGCGUGCUUAACACAUGCAAGUCGAACGAAUUAUUCUAGAGGAAGUUUUCGGAUGGAAUCUAGGAUAGUUAGUGGCGGACGGGUGAGUAACGCGUGGGAAACCUGCCCUAUACAGGGGGAUAGCCUCGGGAAACCGGGAUUAAUACCCCAUGAAACUUGAGUCUCGCAUGAGACAUAAGUCAAAGAUUUAUCGGUAUAGGAUGGUCCCGCGUCUAAUUAGCUAGUUGGUGAGGUAACGGCUCACCAAGGCGACGAUCAGUAGCCGGCCUGAGAGGGUGAACGGCCACACUGGAACUGAGAAACGGUCCAGACUCCUACGGGAGGCAGCAGUGGGGAAUAUUGGGCAAUGGGGGAAACCCUGACCCAGCGACGUCGCGUGAGGGAAGAAGGUCUUCGGAUUGUAAACUUCUUUUAUACGGGUAAUAAAGUGCCCACGCGUGGGUUUGCAUGUACCGUAUGAAUAAGGAUCGGCUAACUCCGUGCCAGCAGCCGCGGUA
Molecule: ribosomal RNA, 510 nt
Filed under: uncultured bacterium
Lineage: Bacteria
Description: bacterial SSU rRNA
Rfam family: Bacterial small subunit ribosomal RNA
Source: RNAcentral